AAGACUCCUUUCAGGAAUCAUUUCUUUAGUUCCUACUAGAGAAGCAUCUUUUACCAUGUGGCAUACCAGAAGCCACAAAGAGGAGGUGCAGCAUUCUGUCCUAAGUGUGAAGUGGACGCCUGGUGUUGCUGUGUUGCAAUUGCCAUUUGCUAAUGAUGACCUUGCUUUUCUUACUUAGAGUAAGACAUAGAGAAGGCAGUCAGCCUGAGC
Small nucleolar RNA from Colobus angolensis palliatus, 210 nucleotides. Its record names the gene U3. It matches the Rfam family "Small nucleolar RNA U3". From Rfam's summary of the family: Small nucleolar RNAs (snoRNAs) are involved in the processing and modification of rRNA in the nucleolus. There are two main classes of snoRNAs: the box C/D class, and the box H/ACA class. Lineage: Eukaryota; Metazoa; Chordata; Mammalia; Primates; Cercopithecidae. The record is from Ensembl.